GACAGAGGUGCCGAGCGUUAGGCGGAAUCACUGGGCUUAAAGCGUGUGUAGGCGGGUCCGUAAGUACCUUGUGAAAUCCCACGGCCCAACCGUGGAAGUGCCUCUGAUACUGCGGGCCUGGAGGGGGAUAGGGGCGUGCGGAACUUCCGGUGGAGCGGUGAAAUGCGUAGAUAUCGGAAGGAACACCGGUGGCGAAAGCGGCGCGCUGGAUCCCUACUGACGCUGAGGCACGAAAGCCAGGGGAGCAAACGGG
This 253-nucleotide ribosomal RNA is filed under the name uncultured bacterium. Its description in RNAcentral is "partial 16S ribosomal RNA". It matches the Rfam family "Bacterial small subunit ribosomal RNA", at positions 524 to 776 of the family's 1533-position model. The record is from RNAcentral.